UCGAGGGCUUUACUGUCUCUUACUUCCAAKCUYGUGURAAUUGACCUUCCCGUGAAGAGGCGGGAAUAUGACAAUAAGACGAGAAGACCCUAUGGAGCUUUAAUUAACCGACCCAAAGAGAUCUUGAUAAUCAACCGACAGGGAUAACAUACCUCUACCAUGGGCCGACAAUUUAGGUUGGGGUGACCUCGGAGAAUAAAACAACCUCCGAGUGAUUUAAAUCUAGACUAACUAGUCGAAAGUACUACAUCACUUAUUGAUCCAAAAACUUGAUCAACGGAACAAGUUACCCUAGGGAUAACAGGCSCAAUYYUMUUUUAGAGUCCAUAUCGACAAUAGGAU
Molecule: ribosomal RNA, 342 nt
Filed under: Panthera onca (jaguar)
Lineage: Eukaryota; Metazoa; Chordata; Mammalia; Carnivora; Felidae
Description: partial 16S ribosomal RNA
Rfam family: Bacterial large subunit ribosomal RNA
Source: RNAcentral